Non-coding RNA from Cinara cedri, 71 nucleotides. Lineage: Eukaryota; Metazoa; Arthropoda; Insecta; Hemiptera; Aphididae. The record is from the annotation of a GenBank genome assembly.
CAAGAGUGAGGUAGUUGGUUGUAUAGUAGUUGAAAUUUGACUUAUACUAUACAAUCGGCUAACUUUUCUUC